UACGGAGGGGGCAAGCGUUAUCCGGAUUUACUGGGUGUAAAGGGAGCGUAGACGGAAUAGCAAGUCUGAUGUGAAAACCCGGGGCUCAACUCCGGGAGUGCAUUGGAAACUGUUGAUCUAGAGUGUCGGAGAGGCAAGCGGAAUUCCUGGUGUAGCGGUGAAAUGCAUAGAUAUCACGCAGAACUCCGAUUGCGAAGGCAGCAUGCCGGCUCCACACUGACGCUGAGGCACGAAAGCGUGGGUAUCGAACAGG
RNAcentral lists this ribosomal RNA (253 nucleotides) under uncultured Blautia sp. Its description in RNAcentral is "partial 16S ribosomal RNA". It matches the Rfam family "Bacterial small subunit ribosomal RNA", at positions 524 to 776 of the family's 1533-position model. Lineage: Bacteria; Bacillati; Bacillota; Clostridia; Lachnospirales; Lachnospiraceae. The record is from RNAcentral.